RNAcentral lists this ribosomal RNA (417 nucleotides) under uncultured bacterium. RNAcentral's name for it is "bacterial SSU rRNA". It matches the Rfam family "Bacterial small subunit ribosomal RNA", at positions 13 to 414 of the family's 1533-position model. The record is from RNAcentral.
UUGAUCCUGGCUCAGAACGAACGUUAGCGGCGCGCCUAACACAUGCAAGUCGAGCGAGAAGGGAGCAAUCCCAGUAAAAGCGGCGCACGGGUGAGUAACACGUAGGUAAUCUACCUCGAGGUGGUGGAUAACCUUCCGAAAGGAGGGCUAAUACAGCAUGAGACCACGUUUUCGAAAGAGAAUGAGGUCAAAGCGGGCCUCUCUACAGAAGCUCGCGCCACGAGAUGAGCCUGCGGCCCAUCAUGGUAGUUGGUAGGGUAACGGCCGUACCCAAGCCGAAGACGGGUAGCUGGUCUGAGAGGAUGAUCAGCCACACUGGAACUGAGACACGGUCCAGACUCCUACGGGAGGCAGCAGUGGGGAAUCUUGCGCAAUGGGCGAAAGCCUGACGCAGCGACGCCGCGUGAGUGAUGAAGG